AUAUAAGUUGUUGCAGUUAAAAAGCUCGUAGUUGGAGUUCAGGGUGAGCUCAGCUGGUCGGCCUAAUGGGUCAGAACUGGUUGACUCUCCCUUGGUUGUGGAUCCCUCCGGAGUUAAUUCUUCGGGUGUGGAGUCCACAUCGUUUACCUUGAAAAAAUUAGAGUGUUCAAAGCAGGCGUUUGCUUGAAUAUAUUAGCAUGGAAUAAUGGAAUAGGACGCUGGUUCUAUUUUGUUGGUUUUGAGAACCAGAGUAAUGAUUAAUAGGGACAGUUGGGGGCAUUCAUAUUUCAUUGUCAGAGGUGAAAUUCUUGGAUUUAUGAAAGAUGAACUUCUGCGAAAGCAUUUGCCAAGGAUGUUUUCAUUAAUCAAGAACGAAAGUUAGGGGAUCGAAGACGAUCAGAUACCGUCGUAGUCUUAACCAUAAACUAUGCCGACUAGGGAUUGGGCGUGGUUUGUUCAUUGACCCGCUCAGCACCUUACGAGAAAUCAAAGUCUUUGGGUUCCGGGGGGAGUAUGGUCGCAAGGCUGAAACUUAAAGGAAUUGACGGAGGGGCACCACCAGGAGUGGAGCCUGCGGCUUAAUUUGACUCAACACGGGAAAACUUACCAGGUCCAGACAUAGUAAGGAUUGACAGAUUGAGAGCU
Molecule: ribosomal RNA, 645 nt
Filed under: uncultured eukaryote
Lineage: Eukaryota
Description: SSU rRNA
Rfam family: Eukaryotic small subunit ribosomal RNA
Source: RNAcentral